AGAGUUUGAUCAUGGCUCAGAUUGAACGCUGGCGGCAGGCCUAACACAUGCAAGUCGAGCGGAUGAAGUGAGCUUGCUCACGGAUUCAGCGGCGGACGGGUGAGUAAUGCCUAGGAAUCUGCCUGGUAGUGGGGGACAACGUUUCGAAAGGAACGCUAAUACCGCAUACGUCCUACGGGAGAAAGCAGGGGACCUUCGGGCCUUGCGCUAUCAGAUGAGCCUAGGUCGGAUUAGCUAGUUGGUGAGGUAAUGGCUCACCAAGGCUACGAUCCGUAACUGGUCUGAGAGGAUGAUCAGUCACACUGGAACUGAGACACGGUCCAGACUCCUACGGGAGGCAGCAGUGGGGAAUAUUGGACAAUGGGCGAAAGCCUGAUCCAGCCAUGCCGCGUGUGUGAAGAAGGUCUUCGGAUUGUAAAGCACUUUAAGUUGGGAGGAAGGGUUGUAGAUUAAUACUCCGCAAUUUUGACGUUACCGACAGAAUAAGCACCGGCUAACUCUGUGCCAGCAGCCGCGGUAAUACAGAGGGUGCAAGCGUUAAUCGGAAUUACUGGGCGUAAAGCGCGCGUAGGUGGUUCGUUAAGUUGGAUGUGAAAUCCCCGGGCUCAACCUGGGAACUGCAUCCAAAACUGGCGAGCUAGAGUAUGGUAGAGGGUGGUGGAAUUUCCUGUGUAGCGGUGAAAUGCGUAGAUAUAGGAAGGAACACCAGUGGCGAAGGCGACCACCUGGACUGAUACUGACACUGAGGUGCGAAAGCGUGGGGAGCAAACAGGAUUAGAUACCCUGGUAGUCCACGCCGUAAACGAUGUCAACUAGCCGUUGGGAGCCUUGAGCUCUUAGUGGCGCAGCUAACGCAUUAAGUUGACCGCCUGGGGAGUACGGCCGCAAGGUUAAACUCAAUGAAUUGACGGGGCCC
RNAcentral lists this ribosomal RNA (916 nucleotides) under uncultured bacterium. Its description in RNAcentral is "bacterial SSU rRNA". It matches the Rfam family "Bacterial small subunit ribosomal RNA", at positions 8 to 921 of the family's 1533-position model. The record is from RNAcentral.